GGGAUAGCCCGCCGAAAGGCGGAUUAAUACCGCAUAUACCGGCAGCCUGGCAUCAGGGAACUGGGAAAGAUUUAUUGGUUGUAGAUGGGGUUGCGUAGCAUUAGCUAGAUGGCGGGGUAACGGCCCACCAUGGCGACGAUGCUUAGGGGACCUGAGAGGGUGAUCCCCCACACUGGCACUGAGAUACGGGCCAGACUCCUACGGGAGGCAGCAGUAGGGAAUAUUGGGCAAUGGGCGAGAGCCUGACCCAGCCAUGCCGCGUGCCGGAUGAAGGCCUUCUGGGUUGUAAACGGCUUUUCUCAGGGAAGAAAAAGACCUUGCGAGGUACACUGACGGUACCUGAGGAAUAAGCACCGGCUAACUCCGUGCCAGCAGCCGCGGUAAUACGGAGGGUGCAAGCGUUGUCCGGAUUUAUUGGGUUUAAAGGGUGCGUAGGUGGCUUGUUAAGUCCGGGGUGAAAGCCCACAGCUCAACUGUGGAACUGCCCUGGAUACUGGCGAGCUUGAGUCCAGACGAGGUUGGCGGAAUGGAAGCUGUAGCGGUGAAAUGCAUAGAUAGCUUCCAGAACCCCGAUUGCGUAGGCAGCUGACUAGGCUGGUACUGACACUGAGGCACGAAAGCGUGGGGAGCGAACAGGAUUAGAUACCCUGGUAGUCCACGCCGUAAACGAUGGAUACUCGCUGGUAGCGAUACACUGUUAC
Molecule: ribosomal RNA, 701 nt
Filed under: uncultured bacterium
Lineage: Bacteria
Description: bacterial SSU rRNA
Rfam family: Bacterial small subunit ribosomal RNA
Source: RNAcentral